UACGUAGGUGGCGAGCGUUGUCCGGAUUUACUGGGCGUAAAGGGAGCGUAGGCGGACUUUUAAGUGAGAUGUGAAAUACUCGGGCUCAACUUGAGUGCUGCAUUUCAAACUGGAGGUUUAGAGUGCAGGAGAGGAGAAUGGAAUUCCUAGUGUAGCGGUGAAAUGCGUAGAGAUUAGGAAGAACACCAGUGGCGAAGGCGAUUCUCUGGACUGUAACUGACGCUGAGGCUCGAAAGCGUGGGGAGCAAACAGG
This 253-nucleotide ribosomal RNA is filed under the name uncultured bacterium. Its description in RNAcentral is "partial 16S ribosomal RNA". It matches the Rfam family "Bacterial small subunit ribosomal RNA", at positions 524 to 776 of the family's 1533-position model. The record is from RNAcentral.